ACUUUCUGGACCCACCCUAAUACUCUGGGGUUGUCUCCUGCCUGAUGGGCUGCCACCAAAGCUCUAAAACCCUCGCACACAAAGGCACCACAGGACUCCCACCCUCAACAUGAGCGCUCUGCCUGCCUCUGUCGCUGCCAGUCAGACCCGCUUCAGCUGGAAUCAAGAUCUUCAGAUUUAUGCAGUAGCCAUGUUUGUCAAAGUAUUUGGCACCAGUGACAUCAUCUUUGUUGAAAUGCCAGACAGCAUGAUGAGUCCCAGAUGUUAGCACACACCAAAAGUUGAGAAAGAAUGAAAUAUAAAGAUCAACUGUAACAGCUACGGAGGACUGUACUCAGUUUACUUCGGAUGUUGACACAUGAAGAAUAUGGGAUUUUUUCAAGGGUUUCUAAAGCUGUUAGGAUUUCCAGUGCCACGGCUGCGUUACGUGCGGUGAGCAAUAAAGGCUGCAUUUAGGACAA
This is a long non-coding RNA of Corvus hawaiiensis (hawaiian crow), 461 nucleotides long. RefSeq lists it as uncharacterized. The transcript has 4 exons. The record is from RefSeq and is a predicted model, not a curated record. Lineage: Eukaryota; Metazoa; Chordata; Aves; Passeriformes; Corvidae.